CCUACGGGUGGCAGCAGUGAGGAAUAUUGGUCAAUGGGCGCGAGCCUGAACCAGCCAAGUAGCGUGAAGGAUGACUGCCCUACGGGUUGUAAACUUCUUUUAUACAGGGAUAAAGUGAGGCACGUGUGCCUUUUUGUAUGUACUUUAUGAAUAAGGAUCGGCUAAUUCCGUGCCAGCAGCCGCGGUAAUACGGAGGAUCCGAGCGUUAUCCGGAUUUAUUGGGUUUAAAGGGAGCGUAGGUGGGUUGUUAAGUGAGUUGUGAAAGUCAGCGGCUCAACCGUAAAAUUGCAAUGGAUACUGGCAGGCUUGAGUACAGUGGAGGUAGGCGGAAUUCGUGGUGUAGCGGUGAAAUGCUUAGAUAUCACGAAGAACUCCGAUUGCGAAGGCAGCUUACUAAACUGCCACUGACAUUGAUGCUCGAAAGUGUGGGUAUCAAACAGGAUUAGAUACCCGUGUAGUC
Molecule: ribosomal RNA, 460 nt
Filed under: uncultured bacterium
Lineage: Bacteria
Description: partial 16S ribosomal RNA
Rfam family: Bacterial small subunit ribosomal RNA
Source: RNAcentral